RNAcentral lists this ribosomal RNA (204 nucleotides) under Clostridioides difficile. Its description in RNAcentral is "partial 23S ribosomal RNA". It matches the Rfam family "Bacterial large subunit ribosomal RNA", at positions 1616 to 1833 of the family's 2925-position model. Lineage: Bacteria; Bacillati; Bacillota; Clostridia; Peptostreptococcales; Peptostreptococcaceae. The record is from RNAcentral.
AGUCUCUAUCGAGGUUAAAGGUACCCGUACCGCAAACAGACACAGGUGGGUGAGGAGAGUAUCCUAAGGCCCGCGAGAUAACUGUUGUUAAGGAACUCGGCAAAAUGACCCCGUAACUUAGGGAUAAGGGGUGCCACCAUCCGGUGGCCGCAGAGAAUAGGCCCAAGCGACUGUUUACCAAAAACAUAGGUUUCUGCUAAGUCG